UAAUACAACAAUUAUCAAAAUUAAGUCACAAGCAAAUUUGUAGACCUAAUUUUCACAAGACAAAGAAAUUGCAUAGAUCGCAGAAACAUUUUCCGUAGUUCACAGCCGUGAGGAGGCUACUACGGCUUUAUUAGUCAAUCCCAACAUGCCACAUAGCUCACAGCCGUGAGGAAGCUACUACGACUUUAUUAGUCAAUCCCAACAUGCCACAUAGCUCGGGAUAUAGUGCUUUUCGUAUUUCUGCGUAAAUCUCACCAUUCCACUUCCUCUUGACCAACUCCCCUCCCAGGCGCACCGCAGCCUCCAGCACUGCUUGCGCACUAUCAUAUGCCGAGUCGAUAAUUCCC
This 347-nucleotide long non-coding RNA is filed under the name Actinidia chinensis (golden kiwifruit). RNAcentral describes it as "long non-coding RNA (ACHI_LNC007419)". Lineage: Eukaryota; Viridiplantae; Streptophyta; Magnoliopsida; Ericales; Actinidiaceae. The record is from RNAcentral.